Molecule: ribosomal RNA, 618 nt
Filed under: uncultured Actinomycetes bacterium
Lineage: Bacteria; Bacillati; Actinomycetota; Actinomycetes
Description: bacterial SSU rRNA
Rfam family: Bacterial small subunit ribosomal RNA
Source: RNAcentral
GGGCGUAAAGAGCUCGUAGGUCGUUUGUCGCGUCGAUUGUGAAAAUCUGAGGCUCAACCUCAGACCUGCAGUCGAUACGGGCAAACUAGAGUGUGGUAGGGGAGACUGGAAUUCCUGGUGUAGCGGUGGAAUGCGCAGAUAUCAGGAGGAACACCAAUGGCGAAGGCAGGUCUCUGGGCCAUAACUGACACCGAGGAGCGAAAGUGCGGGGAGCGAACAGGAUUAGAUACCCUGGUAGUCCGCACCGUAAACGGUGGGCACUAGUUGUGGGAACCUUCCACGGUUUCCGCGACGCAGCUAACGCAUUAAGUGCCCCGCCUGGGGAGUACGAUCGCAAGAUUAAAACUCAAAGGAAUUGACGGGGCCCCGCACAAGCAGCGGAGCAUGCGGCUUAAUUCGACGCAACGCGAAGAACCUUACCAAGGCUUGACAUAUAGCGAAAAGUGGCAGAGAUGUCAUGUCCGCAAGGGCGCUAUACAGGUGGUGCAUGGUUGUCGUCAGCUCGUGUCGUGAGAUGUUGGGUUAAGUCCCGCAACGAGCGCAACCCUCGUUCUGUGUUACCAGCAUUCAGUUGGGGACUCACAGGAGACUGCCGGGGUCAACUCGGAGGAAGGUAAU